This 958-nucleotide ribosomal RNA is filed under the name Picocystis salinarum. Its description in RNAcentral is "partial Bacterial small subunit ribosomal RNA". It matches the Rfam family "Bacterial small subunit ribosomal RNA", at positions 8 to 975 of the family's 1533-position model. The record is from RNAcentral. Lineage: Eukaryota; Viridiplantae; Chlorophyta; Picocystophyceae; Picocystales; Picocystaceae.
AGAGUUUGAUCCUGGCUCAGGACGAACGCUGGCGGCGUGCUUAACACAUGCAAGUCGAACGGAAAGGCCCUGCUUUUGUGGGGUGCUCGAGUGGCGAACGGGUGAGUAACACGUGAGUAACCUGCCCUUGACUUUGGGAUAACUUCAGGAAACUGGGGCUAAUACCGGAUAGGAGCUCCUGCUGCAUGGUGGGGGUUGGAAAGUUUCGGCGGUUGGGGAUGGACUCGCGGCUUAUCAGCUUGUUGGUGGGGUAGUGGCUUACCAAGGCUUUGACGGGUAGCCGGCCUGAGAGGGUGACCGGCCACAUUGGGACUGAGAUACGGCCCAGACUCCUACGGGAGGCAGCAGUGGGGAAUAUUGCACAAUGGGCGCAAGCCUGAUGCAGCAACGCCGCGUGCGGGAUGACGCCUUCGGGUUGUAAACCGCUUUCAGCAGGGACGAAGCUUUUUGUGACGGUACCUGCAGAAGAAGCACCGGCUAACUACGUGCCAGCAGCCGCGGUGAUACGUAGGGUGCGAGCGUUGUCCGGAUUUAUUGGGCGUAAAGGGCUCGUAGGCGGUUGAUCGCGUCGGAAGUGGAAACUUGAUGCUUAACGUUGAGCGUGCUUUCGAUACGGGUUGACUUGAGGAAGGUAGGGGAGAAUGGAAUUCCUGGUGGAGCGGUGGAAUGCGCAGAUAUCAGGAGGAACACCAGUGGCGAAGGCGGUUCUCUGGACCUUUCCUGACGCUGAGGAGCGAAAGCGUGGGGAGCGAACAGGCUUAGAUACCCUGGUAGUCCACGCUGUAAACGGUGGGUACUAGGUGUGGGGUCCAUUCCACGGGUUCCGUGCCGUAGCUAACGCUUUAAGUACCCCGCCUGGGGAGUACGGCCGCAAGGCUAAAACUCAAAGGAAUUGACGGGGCCCCGCACAAGCGGCGGAGCAUGCGGAUUAAUUCGAUGCAACGCGAAGAACCUUACC